UAAAAGGCAAUGAAGGAAAGAGUAAAAAGCUUGAACUUUUACAGAGAGUCGGGCGAGGUGCGAACCGAUAAAGUUUGGGCUUUUGAAGAUGGCUCCGGAGCCGUACUGCCGAAGGCUAGUAGGUUUUACCGGGAACUCCCGUUAUAGAGUAAGAGUGUGUUAGCACUCUGUGAGGCAUGCGUCGUGAGGUGUAUGCGAAGAAGGGUGGUACCGCGACAAUCUCGCCCCUUAU
The sequence is a non-coding RNA, 232 nucleotides long. It matches the Rfam family "T-box leader". From Rfam's summary of the family: Uncharged tRNA acts as the effector for transcription antitermination of genes in the T-box leader family. T-boxes are found upstream of many aminoacyl-tRNA synthetase genes and some amino acid biosynthetic genes usually in Gram-positive bacteria. The anticodon of a specific tRNA base pairs to a specifier sequence within the T-box motif, and the NCCA acceptor tail of the tRNA base pairs to a conserved bulge in the T-box antiterminator hairpin.